RNAcentral lists this ribosomal RNA (396 nucleotides) under uncultured bacterium. RNAcentral describes it as "bacterial SSU rRNA". It matches the Rfam family "Bacterial small subunit ribosomal RNA", at positions 28 to 417 of the family's 1533-position model. The record is from RNAcentral.
GACGAACGCUGGCGGCGUGCCUAACACAUGCAAGUGGAGCGACGAACCAGGGCUUGCCCUGGAGCAAAGCCGCGAACGGGUGAGUAACACGUGGGUAACCUGCCCCAAAGACUGGGACAACCCGAGGAAACUCGGGCUAAUACCGGAUGUGCCCUACACACAUAAGUGUGGCGGGCAAAGGAAGCUUCGGCCUCCGCUUUGGGAGGGGCCCGCGGCCCAUUAGCUUGUUGGUGAGGUAACGGCUCACCAAGGCUGCGAUGGGUAGCUGGUCUGAGAGGACGAUCAGCCACACUGGGACUGAGACACGGCCCAGACUCCUACGGGAGGCAGCAGUGGGGAAUCUUGCGCAAUGCGCGAAAGCGUGACGCAGCAACGCCGCGUGGGGGAAGAAGGCCU